Molecule: non-coding RNA, 70 nt
Organism: Parelaphostrongylus tenuis
Lineage: Eukaryota; Metazoa; Nematoda; Chromadorea; Rhabditida; Metastrongylidae
Source: the annotation of a GenBank genome assembly
UCGGUAGUGCAACGGUUCAGCACGCACUCUUGGAGAGAGUGAGGUCUAAGUUCGAAUCCCAGCGGAGGAA